AAGUGCUGCGCUCUGCAGAUAAAUUUGUGAACAUUCAUGCAACAACAACUCACGUGGUUUGUGAAAUCGUGAAAAACUUGUGAUUGCUCAAAAAUCUCCUGAUUUUUAUAUCGUCUUUAUGAAACAUUAACGUAUGUAUAAAAAUGGCAGUGCAAGAAAAUUCGGACACCGCUAUGGACUGUGAAUCAGUAGAUCAAACUGAUGCAUGGACGGAAGCUAUUAACAAAGUAUUACAAACCAACGUUCCACGGAAGAAUCAGUAGUUCUUGCCCUUGCUGAGAAAGAUCAGGAAGUCAAGGAAGAAACAGAAAUCAAGAAAGAGUAUGAUUUUGAAAUUGAAGGUGGAACUGUUUCUGAUGAAGAUAUCCAAGAGGAAAAACCUGAUGUAAAGGAUUUAGAUCUAAAACUGAAAUUAGGAACUAAAAGAUUACUUAAAAAAGAAUACGCAAAGUUGGACAUGUUAAACCAGACAUUCUAGAAAAAAAUUAUGAACGAACAUUAAUGAAAAUAGCAACAAAGUAAGUAUUAUGAGCAACAGUUACCAAGUCGAUAAGAAUAUGAAUGGCUAAAGUGUGAAACCACAUAUCUUCAUUGCCUUGUUUCAAAAAUUGUCACUCUUAUUUUAUUUUUUCAAAAAGAAACACCCAACUUUAUAACUUACAAUUUUCAUAGAAUAAAAAUCAAGUAAGUUUUUAAGGAAUUACGUUAACUAGUUUUCCAAAGAAAAAUGAAGUGUAACAGGAGGUCUGCAACGCGGAAAUGGAGGUUUCGUGGUUUCCCGUUUUGACCAUCAAUAUCGAAUCUGCUUUACGUGAAAACAGUGUGUUUUCAACUGCUCUUAACUUUGCAUUUGUCUAAAAUAUUUUAACAUUUGAAUUUGGAAACCAUUUACCUCAAGCACCGUACUUAUUUUCGAAUUUCCACUCCUGUUCAAUUUUUUUCUGAGGGAAAACAAGACAACUUUAUUGCAUGAAAUUUUCACAGAAUAUUCAUCUAGU
Molecule: long non-coding RNA, 998 nt
Filed under: Bemisia tabaci
Lineage: Eukaryota; Metazoa; Arthropoda; Insecta; Hemiptera; Aleyrodidae
Description: lncRNA ENSSSA2NGG013406
Source: RNAcentral